UACAGAGGGUGCGAGCGUUAUUCGGAAUUAUUGGGCGUAAAGGGCGCGUAGGCGGCUUUGCAAGCGACGGGUGAAAUCCCUCGGCUUAACCGAGGAACUGCCUGUCGAACUGCUUUGCUUGAGGCCGGGAGAGGUGAGUGGAAUUCCCAGUGUAGCGGUGAAAUGCGUAGAUAUUGGGAGGAACACCAGUGGCGAAGGCGGCUCACUGGACCGGUUCUGACGCUGAGGCGCGAGAGCCAGGGGAGCAAACGGG
RNAcentral lists this ribosomal RNA (253 nucleotides) under uncultured bacterium. RNAcentral's name for it is "partial 16S ribosomal RNA". It matches the Rfam family "Bacterial small subunit ribosomal RNA", at positions 524 to 776 of the family's 1533-position model. The record is from RNAcentral.